UGAAGAGUUUGAUCAUGGCUCAGAUUGAACGCUGGCGGCAGGCCUAACACAUGCAAGUCGAACGGUAACAGGAAGCAGCUUGCUGCUUUGCUGACGAGUGGCGGACGGGUGAGUAAUGUCUGGGAAACUGCCUGAUGGAGGGGGAUAACUACUGGAAACGGUGGCUAAUACCGCAUAACGUCGCAAGACCAAAGAGGGGGACCUUCGGGCCUCUUGCCAUCAGAUGUGCCCAGAUGGGA
Molecule: ribosomal RNA, 239 nt
Filed under: Salmonella enterica subsp. enterica serovar Javiana
Lineage: Bacteria; Pseudomonadati; Pseudomonadota; Gammaproteobacteria; Enterobacterales; Enterobacteriaceae
Description: partial 16S ribosomal RNA
Rfam family: Bacterial small subunit ribosomal RNA
Source: RNAcentral